This 1252-nucleotide ribosomal RNA is filed under the name Staphylococcus argenteus. RNAcentral's name for it is "bacterial SSU rRNA". It matches the Rfam family "Bacterial small subunit ribosomal RNA", at positions 41 to 1275 of the family's 1533-position model. Lineage: Bacteria; Bacillati; Bacillota; Bacilli; Caryophanales; Staphylococcaceae. The record is from RNAcentral.
GGCGUGCUAAUACAUGCAAGUCGAGCGAACGGACGAGAAGCUUGCUUCUCUGAUGUUAGCGGCGGACGGGUGAGUAACACGUGGAUAACCUACCUAUAAGACUGGGAUAACUUCGGGAAACCGGAGCUAAUACCGGAUAAUAUUUUGAACCGCAUGGUUCAAAAGUGAAAGACGGUCUUGCUGUCACUUAUAGAUGGAUCCGCGCUGCAUUAGCUAGUUGGUAAGGUAACGGCUUACCAAGGCAACGAUGCAUAGCCGACCUGAGAGGGUGAUCGGCCACACUGGAACUGAGACACGGUCCAGACUCCUACGGGAGGCAGCAGUAGGGAAUCUUCCGCAAUGGGCGAAAGCCUGACGGAGCAACGCCGCGUGAGUGAUGAAGGUCUUCGGAUCGUAAAACUCUGUUAUUAGGGAAGAACAUAUGUGUAAGUAACUGUGCACAUCUUGACGGUACCUAAUCAGAAAGCCACGGCUAACUACGUGCCAGCAGCCGCGGUAAUACGUAGGUGGCAAGCGUUAUCCGGAAUUAUUGGGCGUAAAGCGCGCGUAGGCGGUUUUUUAAGUCUGAUGUGAAAGCCCACGGCUCAACCGUGGAGGGUCAUUGGAAACUGGAAAACUUGAGUGCAGAAGAGGAAAGUGGAAUUCCAUGUGUAGCGGUGAAAUGCGCAGAGAUAUGGAGGAACACCAGUGGCGAAGGCGACUUUCUGGUCUGUAACUGACGCUGAUGUGCGAAAGCGUGGGGAUCAAACAGGAUUAGAUACCCUGGUAGUCCACGCCGUAAACGAUGAGUGCUAAGUGUUAGGGGGUUUCCGCCCCUUAGUGCUGCAGCUAACGCAUUAAGCACUCCGCCUGGGGAGUACGACCGCAAGGUUGAAACUCAAAGGAAUUGACGGGGACCCGCACAAGCGGUGGAGCAUGUGGUUUAAUUCGAAGCAACGCGAAGAACCUUACCAAAUCUUGACAUCCUUUGACAACUCUAGAGAUAGAGCCUUCCCCUUCGGGGGACAAAGUGACAGGUGGUGCAUGGUUGUCGUCAGCUCGUGUCGUGAGAUGUUGGGUUAAGUCCCGCAACGAGCGCAACCCUUAAGCUUAGUUGCCAUCAUUAAGUUGGGCACUCUAAGUUGACUGCCGGUGACAAACCGGAGGAAGGUGGGGAUGACGUCAAAUCAUCAUGCCCCUUAUGAUUUGGGCUACACACGUGCUACAAUGGACAAUACAAAGGGCAGCGAAACCGCGAGGUCAAGCAAAUCCC